CUAGGUAACAUGAUAAUACCAUCUGGAAGAAAUAUAUGGUCUGUGUGCAGUCCAGUUCUAUCGGAAUGACUUCUGGAAUUUUAACUAGAUAAUGGCAAUUCUAACUGUUAAAGUAGUUUUUGCUUUAUUAUGAACGUAAAAUUAGUUUUUGGGGAUAAAUUUAAGACUUCUGAAAAUUGUCAUGGUUGAAUUGUUUUGGGAAGAUUCAAGAUUGUAAACUUAUAAAGGAUUUCAUUGGCAUACAAUAGGUCCUGAGAAAGAGAUAGAGAGGAUUUACAUAUAUGUCAAAUUUGUGCAUGACGUAGAGUUUCAAGCAUAUCUGAGAAAAUGAGAAAUUGCUAAAUCGGUAUCCCCUUCUGCAUACCUAGUCCAGCUUUUUAAUCUUCUACAGCUUAUAUUUUACAUUUUACUGCUUGAGUAAAAUGGCACAAAGAAAGCAAGGUAUGAUUGCUUUGUUUGAUGUUGAAGGCACGCUUACUCCUGCAAGAAAGAAUUUUGUCAAUGUCCAACCUGGGAAUCACCAUUUUCGGCAAUGAAAGAUUUCUACCAGAUUUCUCAGUUGGGCAUAAACGAAGGAAAGAUUUGUGAAGACACUUUUCAGAGGUAUUUGUUAUAUUUCAGAAUCAGAUUUCAUUUGGCUGUUUUAUUGGUUUGCAGAGAAUUUAGUAUUGUUUAGGAAUAUUAUUUUAUCGUACAACUGUACAAAUGAAAUAUUCAAAGGUUGAUAUUUAAUAUAUUAUUUAUCGGAGGAAUUUGUGAUAAAACUAGCCCUUCUAUUCCCAAAGAUCGAUUUGGUUCAGACUUUUGAGGUUUUAAUAUUUUCUAUAGGGAAUAGUACACGAAACGGGAAAAUGGUAAUAUUGGUAAACUAUGUGUGGCUUAUAUUUUGACUUGGUGAAAAAUUAUUGAGAAGACCUGAUUUAUUAAUGUUGGAUCAUGAAUACUAUUAAUUUGGCAAAAUAUUAUAGAGGUAUAGAAUAUCGGCCCCACAUUUGAUACAAUGUGGAGAUUUUUUUAUUUAUUGAAUUAAUGCAGAAAAGAAAGAUUACAAAGAAGAUGAGUAGUACAAAGACUGCCAAGUUAAAAGAAGAAGAUCAACUAUAACAGCCAUACAUAGAACAAAGUUUUCAACCAUACAAGAACUGAAAUAACUGUUGUGUAACAUAGAACUGUCAAUGUUUCCAACCAUACCACUGCUGUACAAACAAAAGAUAGCCAUACUUAGGCCAACAGAACUACAAGCCAUUCAGUAACAUAAAUUUGCAGCUAUACAUUAAAUUUAAAAAAACUUUGAAGUUGCCUGGAGCAAGUGAGAUCUCCUUUUUGAUGCUAAAGAAUUUGGAGCUUGAUGUAGUCCAAGAAGUAACCAAGUGUGCUGUUGUUCUUGGAGAUCCCCUGUAGUUGACAACAAAGAGAGGCAAUUUGAAACAAUAUAUUAGAGUAAAACAUUAAAAUCUGGGUUCCUUGGUGAACUGGCUGCUUUGAAAACAUUGACAUACACCUGCAUUUCCAUAUAUCAAGAAGAACAAACUGUCAGCUACCACAUUAUUACAAAGACCAACACCCAACAAUGCCUUUUCCCAACUCAAUGAGAGAUUAAAAAUGACAGGAAAAUGCUUGAAAAUAAUAUUCCAUUUUGCACUUGCUAUGGGGCAGUCCCAAAAUAUGUGUUUUAAGUUCUCAUUAUGCUGACAAAAGGAACAUUUAACUGAUUGGAUCACAAAUUUCAAUUUAUCCCCAACUGGUAAUUUGUAAUGAAGAACUUUCCAAGAUAAAAUUUGAGCAUUAGCUUCUGCUUUAGACUUCCAGAUUUGCCCACUCAAAGUCUUCCACUUUCUUUCACUGAACUUGCACCUCCAAUUUAUGUUCAAUCUAGGAUUGAGUGAUGGCCCAGAAGUAGUUUUAAGUAGAUUUUUUUAAGAGGAUAGCAAGCAAAAGAAUAUUUAGACAGCCAUAGCCAGUCUCUAAUGAAAUUACACGGGAAGGGGGUACAUAGUUUCAUUGCAAGCUCAGUUGGUACCAAUGAUUUCACAAAAAAUAGAAAUCUCUCAGACAAGGUAUUUAAAUUAAAUUUGUGUUUCAACUUGUGCCGAGAAGUCCAUUCAAAGGAAUUAAAAUCCCAAAUGUCACCAAACUGAUGUACUCCUUUCUUUAAACAAUACAAAGCAUAUCUAGGAAAGGCAAUAGCAAGGGGUAAACCGUGGUAUUGUACCAACCAAUUCCACCAUAUAGAAGAGUUUUCAAAACUGAACCCAUGUUACCAGGAGGCAUCUUUCCAGCAUAAAAACUUACUAGUAAGCUGCCAAGCCUUCCAUAUAGAUUGAAGAGGAAAUGAAGCCUUUAUAUAGAAGAAAGGAGCAAGUAAAAUUUUAUCAAUAUACCCAACAUUUUGCCAUUUCUUAUUGGUAGUAGCAAGGAUAAUGUGGUGACGAAUAAGUUUUUUCCAUGGUUCAUCACUAGACAUGAUUCUAACAAUCCAUUUAGCAGAUAGUUCUAUUCCUUGCGUCUUGGGAUCCAAGAGACCCAAACCACCUUUAGUUUUUGGUUGAAUAUAGUACGACCAGGAGGCAGAUUUAUAGCCAACUUUGCCUUCAUACCCCUUUUUAGAAGGCAUCCUGCAGGAUGAAUAGUAGACAUGAGAGGCCAAGAAGAUCUAAUUUACAACUUGAAUUUUACUAGCAAGAGAUAAGAAUUCAUUACCCCAAGUCCACAAUCUAUUUUUCAACUUAGAGAUGAAUCAGUUCCACAUGUUAGAAAGAGAAAUUCCCAAACCAAAUGGGAUUCCUAAGUGUCGAGUAAUUUGUCCAUGUUUGAUGUGAAUCCAAUAUUUGGGAAUCUAUUGUGGCACUGGAUUGGACUUAAUCAUAAAAAAAUCAGUCUUAUGAUGAGAUAAUUUUGAACCUGAGACUGAGUAGUAUAAAUUUAAAACUUCCAGAACAUUAUUAGUUUCCUGUUUCGAGUUUUGCAAGAAUAACAAACUGUCAUUUGCAAAGUGGGAGUUAAGCACAACAACAUUGUUUGGAAUGGAAAUUCCUUUAAUCAAGUUCAUUUGAUUGUAUUUAUCUUUAAGGUAACCAAGUGCAUCAGUGGUAAGAACUUAUAGGAAAGGUGCUAAUAGAAUGUUGCAAAGAAAAUGACCCUGAUAAGGAAUUAUUAAUAACCAAUUGAGCAUUGGCCUCAUUCAAAAACAUCUUAACAUGUGAACAAAUCUUAGGUCUGAAUUCCAACCAAUGAAGCAUCUUAAGAAUGAAGCUCCAAUGCAUUCUAUCGUGUACUUUGUCAAAAUCAAGCUUUACUAACAAUGCAUCUUAUCUUGUUUGUUGAGCCCAUUCACUGGUUUCCCAAGCUAACAUUAAAUUAUCAAGGGUAAAUUUGCCACUAAUAAAGUCUGUUUGUUCUGGUCUAAAAAUCUCCUUAACAAAUUGGUUUAAUCCUUGUAGCAAGAGGUUUAGCAAUAAUUUUAUAUGCAGUAUUUAGAAGAGUUACAGGUCUCCAUCCAUAGAUAAAUUCUUCAUUUUUCUCUUCAAGAAGCAGUUUAAUCAGACCUUUAUUAAUAGCAGGUCCAAGAGAGAUCCUUGUUCCACAAACUCCAAAUAGAGCAAGUGAAAAUUGUCCUUGAUAUGAGCCCACAUGGUUUGAUAAAACUCUCGGUUGGGAGACCAUCUCUCAAUCAAAUCUAGGACUUCUAUAUAGAGCCAUGGAGAACACAACAUGUUCAAGAUCUUCCAUAGAAAGCAUUUGGUCUAAGAAUCGGCUAUAUUCAGAAUCAUUCUUCAUGGGAAUGUGAUCCUUGAAGAUGUCUUCCAAUAUAGAUUGAGCAUCUUGCCAAUGAUCAUCCUCUCUAAAGAGAUUCUCAUAGAACUGCUGAAACAUAAAUUUUAUCAAAUAGAGAUAGAACUGUUGAAACAUAAAUUUUAUCAAACAGAGAUAGAACUGUUGAAACAUAAAUUUUAUCAAACAGAGAUAUAUUUAUUGGUUGCUAAUGUUUGAACUUUGAAGUUGUCUUCAGCAAUAUUCGUAUACUUUGUUGUUGACAUCAAUAUGUUUGGGAAUGUUAAAUGUUGAAUCGCAUUGACAAAGGCAAUGAAAUAUAGGGUAGAGGCAAUGGUUGGGUGAGACCUCCAGUCUUGGAGUGGUUCUUUCUGAAUAACAAACCCUAAAGAUUAAUUAUAUUGUCCUGUAUAUAUUGUGCGAUAACAGAAGAGUAAUAUUCUCCUCUACUUUGGCAUAGUGAGAAGUGACGGGAACAAGGCAUUUUCAUAUCUAGCAAUAUAUAAGACACAUAGCUCUCCGUUCAAUGCCCAAGUUGGAUCGUAAAUGCUAAUUUACUGAGUCCCGAUAAAGCAAGCCUUACGGAUUAGUAAUUCCAACGGAAAUACUAUUGUAGCGAAAGUGUAUGAGGUAGCAGACUAACGGCUUUUAGUCAUUCUUUAAUUCACUACGAACAACUUUGCUACGGAGUCAAUGUUAUCGUGAUCGAGCAAUGCAUUUCAUGAAGUAUCAGAGUGGAUUUUUAUCUCAUCUUCAUCAAUAUUUGAUUGAUGUUCAUAUUAUUGCUCCUUAAUUUAUGGUGUUGGGCUUCAUGUCCUGAUGCGUGGGAGAUUAUUGGGAGACUUUUGAAUAUUCUCUGCGGAAGGAGUGCCUAUGGUAGAAUAUCAACAGGUUUUUCAGAUCGAGAGCUUCUCUAUCGUGUGUAUCAACUCUUAUCGUGUGACUGGAACAGAGUUUACGUCAUCCACAUAACAAUAUCAGGUAACCUCUACUGGGGUUUGAGCACACAACAUAUUUGUGAUUUCACGAUUCCAGUUUGAAUAGAAUUUCAUCUGAACUAAAUAAGUUGUCAAAGAAACUGGAAACAUCAAACUGUUAUAUCAUCUUGUAUUAUCAUGCAUAGAUAGUUUGAUUCUGCAAUAUAUACACAUUGAAUUCACUGAAGAAUGUAAUAUGGAACAAUACUUGAACGUUGUUAACGGCCAAUUGGAAUUCUAUUAUCA
This is a long non-coding RNA of Cryptomeria japonica (Japanese cedar), 4994 nucleotides long. RefSeq lists it as uncharacterized. NCBI's taxonomy places the organism in Eukaryota, Viridiplantae, Streptophyta, Pinopsida, Cupressales, Cupressaceae. The record is from RefSeq and is a predicted model, not a curated record. The transcript is spliced from 3 exons.